AAGUCAGAAUAUGGACAUGCUUUUAAUAUAUAGUGACGUGACAUACAGGCGCGCGCUUCCCCAACUGACGCACCGCGCGCACAGUAUUGACAAGAAAAGAGUUGUGAAACUUUCUAUCUCGUAAGGAGUUAUAACGUGAAAUAAUGACACAGACUGGCUACACCAUCUCAUCUGCAGCAGAGACUGUUGUAUCAAAAGGACAGCGCGUUUGUUUUAGGCACUUUUCACUUCAACUGUGCCUGACAGGAGAAUUGGCUUUUCUGAGCCUUUUAACCGUUGAGUUACCAUGGCAACCGCGUACACAUCAGCUGCUGGAGAGGAGAGGACUCGUCUGACAUUUUCUCUGUUUCUCGUCAGUUAUACCAAAGAAAAGGCCAACAACUGCGACAGAUUGUGAUUUCAGGAGUGUCUUAAAAACCCUCUAAAACAGAGGAGAAGUUCCAAGAAAAUGUCUAAUGGGAGCUGCGGACAGACAUAGAAAACACAGUUUGUUUAUUUCUAAUAAGGAGCUGGAGGCCGUGAAGAAACAGAUCCAUGAUAUUGUGGAGAAGCAGGCCCAGCUGAGCGAGUGGAGAGCUGUGCUGGAAAUAUUCUGGGGUUGAUGCUCAUGAGUCCAGGUUAAGUAUACAGCUAACCCUCCCACCACCUCUACUCUGUGUGGUUCUCAGCAAAGGCCCGGUGUAUCCAGGACGCGAUCUUCCCAGAUGUCCUUCACCCUAUUUCAAAGUGCAAGACAUGAACCAGGCCCUGGGCGACGACCUCUCUCCAUCCGCCGCCUCCGGUCUUCAGGAUCUCCACCAGAACCCGAUUCGCUCCACUUCGCGAGACAGAACACAAUGUUGUGAUCAUCGGAGACUCCAUCGUCCGGCACGUUCGUGCUAUGUUAGCUGAAGGGUGAGGGGAGCAUCGGAGCGGACGUGCUUCACGCUGGGGUUAACAACAACACGCUGCGGCACAGGACCACUUCCCACAUAUCGAUGAGGACAUGAAAGGUUCAGUAGACUUUUUGCUUUAAACAAAUGGUUAUAGUCAUGGUGUAAAGAACAGAAACUGCUUUUUGUUAAUAAUUGGAAUCUUU
Carassius auratus (goldfish) is the source of this 1078-nucleotide long non-coding RNA. RefSeq lists it as uncharacterized. The transcript has 5 exons. NCBI's taxonomy places the organism in Eukaryota, Metazoa, Chordata, Actinopteri, Cypriniformes, Cyprinidae. The record is from RefSeq and is a predicted model, not a curated record.